GAGGAUGGAAGAAGCUUGGUAGCAGUUGUUACUACGUCUCUACUGAGAAAAAAUCCUGGGAGGAGAGCAGACAGGACUGCAGAAAUAGAGGAGCACACCUGGUUGUCAUCAAGAACCAAGAACAACAGGUGUGUGUGGUACAGAGAAAUAAGAGAGGGAGAUAGAGAGAGUGACAGAGAAAGAGUGAGAGAGAGAUUGACAGACAGACAGAGAGAUUAACAGACAGUAAAUCUCAGUAAAACCAUGAAUACAAAUUCUGUCUAGACAACAUUGCCCAAAACAAUACUACAUCCCUCGGUCUCUACUGAGAAAAAAUCCUGGGAGGAGAGCAGACAGGACUGCAGAAAUAGAGGAGCACACCUGGUGGUCAUCAAGAGCCAAGAACAACAGACAUUAGUCAAUUGGUUAUGCGGGGUAAAGAACUAUGUCUGGAUUGGUCUGACUGACUCUGUUUCUGAGGGGACCUGGAAAUGGGUGGACGACACACCACUGACCAGAAAUUAUUGGAACAGUAAAGAGCCUAAUGGUGGUGGAGCAGAGAACUGUGUGUAUUUCUACUCUUGGUCAGCAGACACAGGAGAAUGGUGGGACUAUUACUGUUACUAUAAAUUCAGAUGGAUCUGUGAGAAAUAGGAUUCAUCCUCGGUACUCUCUGAACUGCUAAAUAAGAUUAUGCUAAGUACUAUCAAUGAGAAACUAUUUCCUGCUUAUUCAUUUACCUUGUCAACUACAUACAAUAUAUAACAAGACAAAUGUAGAAUACAUUAUAAUAAAACUAUAUGCAAUAACAACACAAUGACUUGAUAAGAGAAGGACUGUUCGGUCUGUUGUUGAGGAAAUUCACCACGAAGGACUCAAAUUCAAAGGAAAUUAAUCAAUCUUUAUUAUCACAGUCAGAGGUUCACUGACUCAAAACAAUCCUGAUGUUAAUGUUUAUUAUUAUUACUUUUUACUUUAGUCUACUUGCUAAAUAUUUGUCUUAACUCUUCCCGAACUGCACUGUUUGUUAAGGGCUUGUAAGUCAGCAUGUCACAGUAAAGUCUACACUUGUUGUAUUCGUGGCAUAUUGACAAAUAAAGUUUGAUUUGAUUUGAAGUCAUUGAAGUACGGUUGGUUCCUGCAUGAGACUGACUGAUACCACACCAGGCUUCUUACCUUGACACUGAGAUACUCCUUUUGGUUCCCAGAGCAAU
Non-coding RNA from Oncorhynchus mykiss (rainbow trout), 1193 nucleotides. NCBI's taxonomy places the organism in Eukaryota, Metazoa, Chordata, Actinopteri, Salmoniformes, Salmonidae. The record is from RefSeq and is a predicted model, not a curated record.